UCCAGCCUACGGGAGGCAGCAGUGGGGAAUAUUGCACAAUGGGGGAAACCCUGAUGCAGCAACGCCGCGUGAAGGAAGACGGUUUUCGGAUUGUAAACUUCUGUUCUUAGUGAAGAAAAAUGACGGUAGCUAAGGAGCAAGCCACGGCUAACUACGUGCCAGCAGCCGCGGUAAUACGUAGGUGGCAAGCGUUGUCCGGAAUUACUGGGUGUAAAGGGAGCGCAGGCGGGAAGGCAAGUCAGCUGGGAAAACUACGGGCUUAACUUGUAGACUGGAGUUGAAACUGGUUUUCUUGAGUUAAGUAG
This 305-nucleotide ribosomal RNA is filed under the name uncultured bacterium. RNAcentral describes it as "bacterial SSU rRNA". It matches the Rfam family "Bacterial small subunit ribosomal RNA", at positions 330 to 654 of the family's 1533-position model. The record is from RNAcentral.